Molecule: ribosomal RNA, 372 nt
Filed under: uncultured organism
Description: bacterial SSU rRNA
Rfam family: Bacterial small subunit ribosomal RNA
Source: RNAcentral
CGAAGGUUGCAAGCGUUACUCGGAAUUACUAGGCGUAAAGGGCAGGUAGGUGGUUUGGUAAGUCUAUUGUGAAAGCUCCCGGCUUAACUGGGAGAGGCCAAUGGAUACUGCCAAGCUUGAGUAUAGGAGAGGUUACUGGAAUUCCCGGUGUAGCGGUGAAAUGCGCAGAUAUCGGGAGGAACACCAAUGGCGAAAGCAGGUAACUGGACUAUUACUGACACUCAACUGCGAAAGCUAGGGGAGCAAACGGGAUUAGAUACCCUGGUAGUCCUAGCCGUAAACGAUGCACAUUAGACGUGAGGGGUAUCGACCCCCUUCGUGUCGACGCUAACGCAUUAAAUGUGCCGCCUGGGGAGUACGGCCGCAAGGUUG